CGCCAUGCAAGCAGCACAGAUUUUUUUGAUUAUGUAGAUUUUUUUUUUCCCCUAUUGCAGUUUCAUAUGCAAAGCAUGCAUCAGCCACAUCCAUGCUAUCUCCUAAAGCAGUCAUUCUGAAACCCAAUCUGGGGACAGUGCAGACUAAAUAAAAUUUCAUUUUGAUUUGGCCUCCCGCUGAGAAUGGGACUGCUUUGUUUCAGCCGACAGAACCAGCAAGCCAGAAAGGUGUUGAAUACACAAAUACUGAAUUAACGGAUAAUUAUGGUCAUUGUGGUUGAGGAAAUAUUUUUAUCCAGGCCUCAGGAAAUGGUGGUCUGGCUAGCAACUGCAGUGGUGUGAAUGGUUACAUGAAGAGUAUCUACUUGAGGCAAAGCAUGCCAUCACUUACUUCUGCCCCAAUACUCCUGAACUACAAGACCUAAUCAAUGUCAGUGGCCACCUGGAAAUUCCCAGUGAGGAAGGACUAUGGCAGCUUCUACCCUGAAAACAAACCUUCAUUCUGGAGUGAGGUGAGUCAGUAAUGUGUUACCACAGAACUUUAGAGCUGGAAGUACUUCAGUAUUCAAAGACACAUCCAGCACCAGUCCUUUUAACUGCCGUUGUCAUUGCUCUGGCUCUUCCACCCAAGUAAGGAUGAUAUAUGUCUUGUUUUCAGCUCACAUGACAAAGAUAUGACACUUUUGUCACCGAUUCUUAAGAAAAACUGUAUGAGUCAAAUUACAAUCGCAACAAAAGUUAGAACAAAGCCCUCUUUCUUGUUGAAACAGUUUGCUGUUUACUGUCUUUUGCUUAGCUGGUGGUACAGUACAUAGCCUGCAAAUAGAUGAAAUACAUUUUAGAUGCAUGAAAGAAAAAAUACUAUUUAAAACCAUAAGAUUCCUUUAGGAAAAUAAUUAGAGGCAGCUAUCAUCAUUAACUCUGGAAUACAUAACUCUUCCCAUUCUUAAUAAAAAGUGAUCCUUAAUAAAAAGUGAAUGCAGUUGCAUGCCACAGUAUUAAAGAAUAUAUGAGUUAAAUAUCUUCCUGCUUCAAAGAUGCGUGGCCUAAAACCUGAAAAAUUACAGUAUACUCAAAUGAUCAUAAAGGACUGACUUCACUGACCAUUUCUUUGUGUUUGGGGGAUAGAUUUCUGCAUGGCAUAAUAUUUCCACUUGCAUUGGUUUCCUGGCAUGAAAAUGUUUAUUGCACUCAUUAGCUAAGAGGAUGUCGGCACUGGUCCAAUGAACACAGAUCUGCCUUCUGAUUUCAGCCAUUAAAUUGCAAUGGGAUUCACAGGCUUAACAUUGUGGGUGUGAGAAUAAUAAAAUGGAGCUCCAUCUUUAGCCCAGUUACCAUGGAUGCAGUUAAAGGUCAUAGUGGCAGCUGCUAACUAGUUGCCUUUUUAGCUGUAUUUCCCCUCCUGCUAUGUGUUUUUGUGUACCUUAGUUUCUGCAGGUCUGCCUUAGAGCAAUUCCACUUCCUUAACUUGGCAUAUGGGUGUCUUCCUCAACAUGAUGGGUGCAUUGCCAUAAACACGGUUGCUGCCGGCAUCCCUUUAUUGAUUUUUUUUGUGUUUUAAUGGAAAAUGACUAUAAAGACCUUAACAAAAAAAUGGAAAUGCAGCCUGCUCAGCAUCCCAAAUUAUUUCUAUUUUCUGCACUCUGCUUCACGUUCCUAACUUGGGGGAGAAAAAAGAAAAAUCCCUCCCUGUAUAUAGUGAAUUCCUAUCUCCAUUUAAACUCAUAAUGGGCUAAGGAACUGAGGCAUUCACAGUGUGGAACAUCAACUACUACUUCUCAAUUCGCCCCAAAGUCCUAGGAGUUAAUUCCCUGUACUGCAUGAAGCGUCAGAGUAAUUACUGCUGAUCAGCCCUAUCUCUUAGCAUUCUGUCCUGCUUUGAGAGGCACCCUGUUUAUUGAUGCACUGCUACAUCAUCACAUUGCUUUCAUUCAGGCAAGCUGAUUAAUCGAAAGGGCUUGGACAAAGCAAGAUUUUCAAAGAGAAGGAGUGGAAAAAAAUUAAAAGUAGCCAAGUAAAAUAAAGUGAAUGGUAAAGAAGUCUGUAAGCUCUACAAAAUAUUUCCUUAUGUCAACACUUAGUUUCAAUAGAUUUUAAAACUCUUCUUUAUUUCCAAAAGAAGGUACCGUGAGUCUUUUCUGUAGUGACUCAACUACAUGAUCACUUCCUAUUUGAAGAUUUUUAGAAGCACAGUGCUGGAUGCCCUCCUUGAGGAAUGCUUAUUGGUUUUUGUUCUGUUUAUAUACAGGCUAUGACUCUGUCAACCUUUCUGAACCACGAUACAAAGAAACUUUUUUUAAGUUUAUGCCUUUCUGUUUUAAAGAUACAUUUAUAUAACUUGUCAUUUCUCAAAAAUAAAGUACUAUAUGAGCCAAAUGUUUCAGUUCCACACAAGGGUGGCUUCUAGUUCUCAUUGGCAGGAUGCCACUUUAUUCAUUUUUAUUUCAAACACAAUGUGAAACUUUUAAUUCUAAUAUAGUAUAAAAGUGUGAUGGCUAUAAAGCCUACACUGUGACUAAUUCAUGCUCCUCUUCUCCUUGCACUCCUGUGAAUUUUAGAGGGUGGCAGAAAGUUACACUGAAUUCAUUUCCACUUAAAUAUUAUCAGGCUUUGUGUGUUUGUUAGGGAGAGAAGAGAUUUAUUUGGGCUGGCAUCUGUAUUUAAGACUCAAGUGUUUUCCUUGAUUAAGUCACUUUUGGGCACUGUUCUUGUAGAUCUGUGGAUACCCAGCCCAUAGUGAAAGUAACUUUUUAGCCGAGUCUGUUUUGCCUCAAGAAGUGAAAUAGAUUGUCACAUGGAAAAGGAAAUAAACAGGUAAUGACAAAUACAAGUGUAAACAAACCAGUUAUCUAAUUGGUUGCUGAGAUUCUUCUAAUGACAUCACCCCCUCUAUGGCAUUGCUUCAUUAAAAAAUUAUAAUAAGUUUCCUAAGUUGUUCAGCAGGGUUGUUGAAAAUAUCAGAAUAAGGUGGCUACAACUAUUACAGUGGCCCCUUUUACUGUUUCCUCCACCACACUUUUAAUCAGAGAAUUUCUUCUUGUGCCUUGUUUACUGUUGAUAUUUUCUGGCUGAUUGGAUAGGAAUGACAUUUUGACAAUUUACUGUAGCAGUAAGCACUGUACAAACAAAAGGUGCUGAUGAAAACUCGGAACCCAUUAUUAUGUAAAUUAUGGCUGACUAACACAGAUUCCAUCUACCAGUCACCAUCAUUGAGAUCAGUUUUACUCAAUGAUAAUAAUUUUCAUGAUUGCAGUCUUCAGAGAGAUCAGAAAUAUGCUUUAGCUGUUGCAUUUAUCUACUGCGGGUACUUGACCCUUAAUUAAAUUCUGAAACUUUUUUAUAUAAUAAAGUAAAAUACAGCUGGCACUUCCAUUCAAACAAAGAGCAUCAAACACAGAUCUACCAAAUAAGAUAAAGGUAUUUCAGACUUACCUUGUUGUAAUGCUAGUAAACACGAAAACUACAACAUCCUUUGAAAGAGAGCUUAAAGUUUAAAAUGCCAAAAAAAAAAAAAAGCAUGCUCUUAGGCAAUUUAAAUGUUGCACUCCAGUCCCGUGUCUGCUGAAUGCUGCGCUUGCUCUGCAGAAUGGUCUUGAACUUUAUAUUAAAAUAUGCAUGACAGGAAAAAAAAAAAUGAAUGAGCUUUGAGUAUAUAGAUGAUGUUUGUCUGCUCCCGUAUAUUAUUGGGGUCAUAAAUGAAAAAUUGUUAGAAAAUAAAGAAGUAAGAGAUUAUUUAAUGUUUCACACUAAAUUUUGUAAGACAGUAUUCUCCCAAAACUUGAAAAAUAUGCUUUGUAAAACUAUUCCUCUUAAAAACAGAUUAGGAACAACUCAAGGUGCUGCACUGCUGCAUUAGUGUUCUGCUACUAACAGAUACAAAAAUGACUAAAUAGCAUAAAAACAGAUCAGUUAAUUUGGUUUAUAUUUAUAUAUUUAUAUGUGUGAGUUCCAUAAACAAGACCAAGGAAAAGGGAUAUACUGUACAGAAAAGGAAUCUGGGCUUUUCAUUUAAUAUUUUAACUUUUUAAGGCAGCUUUGAAAGCUUUUAGUACUCCUUUCCUCCCUCCUCCCCAGUCUCCUCACCAGUUUUUCAAUCACGAAGAUGGUCAUUCCAGGUAAGAUGUAAGAGUCAGGAUUAAAAAGAGGUAGGGUAUUAUAAAAAUGGAGAUUCAGGAUUUCUUUCAACAUAGCACUUUCCUAAACUGUCAGUUCAUAGAGCCAAUGAGCUAAGAAAAGUAAUUACUUAAGUGGAUUUCAUGAAGAGUAGAAAGAUGAUUGUGCCACAUUAAAUAACAAUUGUAUCCUUAAUGAUGUGUUGGACUAUAAUACAAACAUUCUUCUGCCAUUAUAUGCAAUACAAUAUACCUUUCUAAUUACUCCGGUGGCUUCCUCUUCCUUUAUUAAGAUGCUAUGCUUUCAGAGACUAUGUAAGCAUUAUAUGAGCUGCUUUUUUUUUCCUUAAACUACAGUGAGUGCAGCUGUGUGGUCAUUGAUAAAUUAGUUAUAAAUUACUGACACUUUGUAUAUGAAUGGAAUAAUUGUUUUAUUCCUUUUCUUUCCUUCAUGAAAUACAAUUUUUCUUAGAAGAGAUAUAAUGAAAUUCAAUGAAAUUACUUCUCCAUGGUUUUUUUUGGUAUUUCCAUAUAUGUAACCAGAUAAUUAAUAAGGCAGAUUCAAGACAAGAUGGCUAACUUACUUAAGAAAGUAGAAUAGGGUCUGCAAAUUCAGAAAAGUUGAAAACCAUUUCUCCGUUUCAUUGCUUAUAUUCUGUCCCUAAGAGAUGGAACUCUACACUCCCUAGCACUGCUUUCUAUAAAUCAGUAUGAUUUCUAUGAUUUCUAGAAUUACUUUGGUGCACUAUCUGACCACUCAUUAGACUUGAAUUCCUAACAUUCUGCCAGUGCACAGAGCUUAUAUUUGGACCCAAUUAAAGUUUGCACACAUUAAUAGUCCUACUGAAGAAAAAGGAAACUUAUGUGGAAAUUCUCCCAAAUGUAUAAAGGGAUUGAAGAACUUGGGGGGGGGGGGGGAAUAAAAUUGGACAAUUCCAGAUUCUCUGUCAGAGAGACUGAUUUUUUACAUCAGAAAUUUUCAUGCAUAAAGGAACUUGAAUAAGUGAAUAAAAUAAAACAAGUGAUUAAAGUAAAACCUGCAAAAUAUUAUUCUUCUCUGUUGUCUCUUAGUAGAGACACAUUCUGUUAACUCAUAACUCACAUUCUUCUGCUACCUAUUAAUGCCAUGAAUAGCAAUAAUUUUAUGAGCAGUCCACUCCAAUUUUAUGCAUGCUGCACUGUAGUCCUGAGCUGGCUGGUCAAAGUCACACCUUUGGAAUUUUAUCAGUAAAAAUGGUUGAAAAUUACCAAAGUUCUUUAUCACUGUUGAAUGACCUAAAGUUAGCUAACACCAAAGAGAAAAAAUAUUCCUGUUUUCAAAAUCAGGUUUGACUGCUUUGAAACUUGGUGAUAAUAGGAAAAAUAUGCCAUAGUAUGACCAAACUAUUUUGUGGUUCUCAUCAAUAUAUUAUAUUCCCUUUGUAAAAAACUAGGACACAUUACACAGGUAGUUUCACAUCUGACAGUUCACACACUGUCAAACUAAGAAACAACAACGUCCAUGAUUUAAAAUAAAAUCCACCUAUAAAAUUCAUCUGCAAUUAACACCAUCACUUUCCUAAAAGCAGCUUAGUAAGUAUAUAUUUUCUCUUUCGUCCCAAAUUCUUACUGGUACAGUAGGAGCUCUGUGCUUGGAUCGCAUGUUAGGCAGAAUUAUGGGAAUCUUUAUAAACUCCCUGCUACACUGCUUGGUUAGCUAAAUUCAAGAUUAGUAAAUGGUCCUUGGAAAGUAAGCAGAGUAGCCCCCUGUUACUGCAUCUGAAGUAUAUAUACAUAGCCAUAUAUUCUGCACUCAGUCAAAAGAAGCCUGAGCCAAAAGAAAAA
Pezoporus occidentalis (night parrot) is the source of this 5936-nucleotide long non-coding RNA. RefSeq lists it as uncharacterized. NCBI's taxonomy places the organism in Eukaryota, Metazoa, Chordata, Aves, Psittaciformes, Psittacidae. The record is from RefSeq and is a predicted model, not a curated record. The transcript is spliced from 4 exons.